Molecule: ribosomal RNA, 269 nt
Filed under: uncultured bacterium
Lineage: Bacteria
Description: partial 16S ribosomal RNA
Rfam family: Bacterial small subunit ribosomal RNA
Source: RNAcentral
UACGUAGGGUGCAAGCGUUAAUCGGAAUUACUGGGCGUAAAGCGUGCGCAGGCGGCUUUGCAAGACAGAUGUGAAAUCCCCGGGCUUAACCUGGGAACUGCAUUUGUGACUGCAUGGCUGGAGUGCGGCAGAGGGGGAUGGAAUUCCGCGUGUAGCAGUGAAAUGCGUAGAUAUGCGGAGGAACACCGGUGGCGAAGGCGGCCCGCUGGGCAGGAAGGCUCGCAAGAGCCGGCUGACGCUGAGGCGCGACAGCGUGGGGAGCAAACAGG